CAAUGGGACUUCAGGCUCUCUGUGCACAGCCCGCCCCCCCCCCCGCGAGGUGGGCGGGGCGGCGGGGGGAGGCCUUGGUCGCACGGCCGGCUUACUUGCAUGCAAUACUGGAAGGGACCCAAGUCGUGCUUCCCCUUGCAGGGCGCCACCUCACAAAGCCCGGUUCCUCCAAGCCGGGCGGCGGGGGGGAGGGUAACUGACGCUGAAAUGUAUUGUUUGCCCUGUACUAGUUAACAGCACAUACAAAAGGCUGCCCUCCCGCAAACACCAGGAGACGAAGGGGCUACCCUCUCCCCCAAACCAAACCACACACGCGGCUCGCUCGCUCCACCGUGACUUUCUCUGUCUCCGGGUAACUCGGGGCGACUCACUUCCCCGACGACGGCGGCCGGCCGGCCACACAGGUGGACCGCAGCCGGAGGGCGCACCCAGCCCCUGUGACUCACCGCAGCUCCCAGGCUCCACGCGGAUACUGUCGGUUUGCUGCUGCUGUUGUUGUCGGCGGGCGCAACCGCCUCGGAUACUACGAUCAUCAUUGCCCGGCUCCUGAGCUUGUUCCGGUGGUGGCGGCGGCUCCCCCUGGACGCCUGGGCCCUCGCCGCAGCUGGCAGUCGUCUCCACUGGCACCACCGUGAAGUUGAGGAAACAGUAUGGGGGAUUGCACACAACCCUUCCCCCCCACCCUAAAGUCCAACUUCUUUGGGGCAGCAAACUGAGGAAAUUUGAACAAAACCGUCAAGACUAGAAGGAAUGUCACAUCAAUGCCUCAUCAUACCAGGGCAUCAACAUUAGCUGCUGAACCAUAUGCGACAUUACACUGCACUGGAUCAAGAAACAGAACUAUUUAUAUUUUAAAAGCAGUGUAAGAAGAAAUAAAAUAAAUACAUUUGUACCUGUUA
Molecule: long non-coding RNA, 899 nt
Organism: Hemicordylus capensis (graceful crag lizard)
Lineage: Eukaryota; Metazoa; Chordata; Lepidosauria; Squamata; Cordylidae
Exons: 2
Source: RefSeq, a predicted model, not a curated record